This 468-nucleotide ribosomal RNA is filed under the name uncultured bacterium. RNAcentral's name for it is "partial 16S ribosomal RNA". It matches the Rfam family "Bacterial small subunit ribosomal RNA", at positions 28 to 507 of the family's 1533-position model. The record is from RNAcentral.
GACGAACGCUGGCGGCGUGCUUAACACAUGCAAGUCGAACGGAAAGGCCCUGCUUUUGUGGGGUGCUCGAGUGGCGAACGGGUGAGUAACACGUGAGUAACCUGCCCUUGACUUUGGGAUAACUUCAGGAAACUGGGGCUAAUACCGGAUAGGAGCUCCUGCUGCAUGGUGGGGGUUGGAAAGUUUCGGCGGGUGGGGAUGGACUCGCGGCUUAUCAGCUUGUUGGUGGGGUAGUGGCUUACCAAGGCUUUGACGGGUAGCCGGCCUGAGAGGGUGACCGGCGACAUUGGGACUGAGAUACGGCGCAGACUCCUACGUGAGGCAGCAGUGGGGAAUAUUGCACAAUGGGCGGAAGCCUGAUGCAGCAACGCUGCGUGCGGGAUGACGGCCUUCGGGUUGUAAACCGCUUUCGCCUGUGACGAAGCGUGAGUGACGGUAAUGGGUAAAGAAGCACCGGCUAACUACGUG